UGCAAGUCGAACGGUAACAGCACUUCGGUGGCUGACGAGUGGCGAACGGGUGAGUAAUACAUCGGAACGUGCCCGAGAGUGGGGGAUAACGCAGCGAAAGCUGUGCUAAUACCGCAUACGAUCUACGGAUGAAAGCAGGGGACCGCAAGGCCUUGCGCUCAUGGAGCGGCCGAUGGCAGAUUAGGUAGUUGGUGGGAUAAAAGCUUACCAAGCCGACGAUCUGUAGCUGGUCUGAGAGGACGACCAGCCACACUGGGACUGAGACACGGCCCAGACUCCUACGGGAGGCAGCAGUGGGGAAUUUUGGACAAUGGGCGAAAGCCUGAUCCAGCCAUGCCGCGUGCAGGAUGAAGGCCUUCGGGUUGUAAACUGCUUUUGUACGGAACGAAAAAGUCUUUUCUAAUAAAGAAGGCUCAUGACGGUACCGUAAGAAUAAGCACCGGCUAACUACGUGCCAGCAGCCGCGGUAAUACGUAGGGUGCAAGCGUUAAUCGGAAUUACUGGGCGUAAAGCGUGCGCAGGCGGUUAUAUAAGACAGAUGUGAAAUCCCCGGGCUCAACCUGGGAACUGCAUUAGUGACUGUAUAGCUAGAGUGCGGCAGAGGGGGAUGGAAUUCCGCGUGUAGCAGUGAAAUGC
Molecule: ribosomal RNA, 636 nt
Filed under: uncultured bacterium
Lineage: Bacteria
Description: bacterial SSU rRNA
Rfam family: Bacterial small subunit ribosomal RNA
Source: RNAcentral